GACGAACCGUGCGAACGUUGUUCGGAAUCACUGGGCUUAAAGGGCGCGUAGGCGGGCGGCCGCGUCCGGGGUGAAAUCCUCCCGCUCAACGGGAGAACGGCCUCGGAUACGGGCGGCCUCGAGGGGGGUAGGGGCAUCUGGAACUGUGAGUGGAGCGGUGAAAUGCGUUGAUAUUCACAGGAACUCCGGUGGCGAAGGCGAGGUGCUGGACCCCAUCUGACGCUGAGGCGCGAAAGCCAGGGGAGCGAACGGGAUUAGAUACCCCGGUAGUCCUGGCCCUAAACGAUGGGUACUAGGUAGUAGACCGGACAUGGGUUUACUGCCGGAGCUAAAGUGCUAAGUACCCCGCCUGGGGAGUAUGGUCGCAAGGCUGAA
RNAcentral lists this ribosomal RNA (375 nucleotides) under uncultured bacterium. RNAcentral describes it as "bacterial SSU rRNA". It matches the Rfam family "Bacterial small subunit ribosomal RNA", at positions 524 to 898 of the family's 1533-position model. The record is from RNAcentral.